Molecule: ribosomal RNA, 654 nt
Filed under: uncultured bacterium
Lineage: Bacteria
Description: bacterial SSU rRNA
Rfam family: Bacterial small subunit ribosomal RNA
Source: RNAcentral
AGCCAGUUGGCGGGGUAACGGCCCACCAAGGCGACGAUGGAUAGGGGUUCUGAGAGGAAGGUCCCCCACAUUGGAACUGAGACACGGUCCAAACUCCUACGGGAGGCAGCAGUGAGGAAUAUUGGUCAAUGGUCGGCAGACUGAACCAGCCAAGUCGCGCGAGGGAAGACGGCCCUACGGGUUGUAAACCUCUUUUGUCGGAGAGUAAAGUGCGCUACGCGUAGCGUAUUGCAAGUAUCCGAAGAAAAAGCAUCGGCUAACUCCGUGCCAGCAGCCGCGGUAAUACGGAGGAUGCGAGCGUUAUCCGGAUUUAUUGGGUUUAAAGGGUGCGUAGGCGGCACGCCAAGUCAGCGGUGAAAUUUCCGGGCUCAACCCGGAUUGUGCCGUUGAAACUGGCGAGCUAGAGUGCACAAGAGGCAGGCGGAAUGCGUGGUGUAGCGGUGAAAUGCAUAGAUAUCACGCAGAACCCCGAUUGCGAAGGCAGCCUGCUAGGGUGCGACAGACGCUGAGGCACGAAAGCGUGGGUAUCGAACAGGAUUAGAUACCCUGGUAGUCCACGCAGUAAACGAUGAAUACUAACUGUUUGCGAUACAAUGUAAGCGGUACAGCGAAAGCGUUAAGUAUUCCACCUGGGGAGUACGCCGGCAACGGUGA